AGUGAACGCUGGCGGUAUGCCUAACACAUGCAAGUCGAACGGCAGCACAGUAAGAGCUUGCUCUUACGGGUGGCGAGUGGCGGACGGGUGAGGAAUACAUCGGAAUCUACUUUUUCGUGGGGGAUAACGUAGGGAAACUUACGCUAAUACCGCAUACGACCUACGGGUGAAAGCAGGGGAUCUUCGGACCUUGCGCGAUUGAAUGAGCCGAUGUCGGAUUAGCUAGUUGGCGGGGUAAAGGCCCACCAAGGCGACGAUGCGUAGCUGGUCUGAGAGGAUGGUCAGCCACAUUGGAACUGAGACACGGCCCAGACUCCUACGGGAGGCAGCAGUGGGGAAUAUUGGACAAUGGGCGAAAGCCUGAUCCAGCCAUACCGCGUGGGUGAAGAAGGCCUUCGGGUUGUAAAGCCCUUUUGUUGGGAAAGAAAAGCAGCAGGUUAAUACCCCGCUGUUCUGACGGUACCCAAAGAAUAAGCACCGGCUAACUUCGUG
This 492-nucleotide ribosomal RNA is filed under the name uncultured bacterium. Its description in RNAcentral is "partial 16S ribosomal RNA". It matches the Rfam family "Bacterial small subunit ribosomal RNA", at positions 29 to 507 of the family's 1533-position model. The record is from RNAcentral.